Molecule: unclassified non-coding RNA, 338 nt
Filed under: soil metagenome
Description: partial contains 5.8S ribosomal RNA, internal transcribed spacer 2, and large subunit ribosomal RNA
Rfam family: 5.8S ribosomal RNA (bases 1-120)
Source: RNAcentral
GAUGAAGAACGUAGCGAAAUGCGAUAAGUAGUGUGAAUUGCAGAAUUCAGUGAAUCAUCGAAUCUUUGAACGCACAUUGCGCCCCUUGGUAUUCCAUGGGGCAUGCCUGUUCGAGCGUCAUUUGUACCUUCAAGCCUUGCUUGGUGUUGGGUGUUUGUCUCGCCUCUGCGCGCAGACUCGCCUCAAAACAAUUGGCAGCCGGCGUAUUGAUUUCGGAGCGCAGUACAUCUCGCGCUUUGCACUCAGAACGACGACGUCCAAAAGUACAUUUUUUACUCUCUUGACCUCGGAUCAGGUAGGGAUACCCGCUGAACUUAAGCAUAUCAAUAAGCGGAGGA